This 253-nucleotide ribosomal RNA is filed under the name uncultured prokaryote. RNAcentral describes it as "partial 16S ribosomal RNA". It matches the Rfam family "Bacterial small subunit ribosomal RNA", at positions 524 to 776 of the family's 1533-position model. The record is from RNAcentral.
UACGUAGGGUGCAAGCGUUAUCCGGAUUUACUGGGCGUAAAGGGUGUGCAGGCGGGCUGUUAAGUGGUGUAUGAAAUCGCCGGGCUCAACCGGGCGAGGUUAUGCCAGACUGGCAGUCUAGAGAGCGAGAGAGGGACGUGGAAUUCCGGGUGUAGUGGUGAAAUGCGUAGAUAUCGGGAGGAACACCUGAGGCGAAGGCGGGCUACUGGGCCGAUACUGACGCUGAGGCACGAAAGCGUGGGGAGCAAACAGG